CCUACGGGGGGCAGCAGUGAGGAAUAUUGGUCAAUGGACGAGAGUCUGAACCAGCCAAGUCGCGUGAAGGAUGACUGCCCUAUGGGUUGUAAACUUCUUUUAUAUGGGAAUAAAACGUUCCACGUGUGGGAUUUUGUAUGUACCAUAUGAAUAAGGAUCGGCUAACUCCGUGCCAGCAGCCGCGGUAAUACGGAGGAUCCGAGCGUUAUCCGGAUUUAUUGGGUUUAAAGGGAGCGUAGGUGGAUUGUUAAGUCAGUUGUGAAAGUUUGCGGCUCAACCGUAAAAUUGCAGUUGAAACUGGCAGUCUUGAGUACAGUAGAGGUGGGCGGAAUUCGAGGUGUAGCGGUGAAAUGCUUAGAUAUCGCGAAGAACUCCGAUUGCGAAGGCAGUUCACUGGACUGAAACUGACGCUGAGGCGCGAAAGUGUGGGUAUCAAACAGGAUUAGAUACCCCGGUAGUC
This 460-nucleotide ribosomal RNA is filed under the name uncultured bacterium. Its description in RNAcentral is "partial 16S ribosomal RNA". It matches the Rfam family "Bacterial small subunit ribosomal RNA", at positions 338 to 795 of the family's 1533-position model. The record is from RNAcentral.